This 211-nucleotide unclassified non-coding RNA is filed under the name uncultured Agaricaceae. RNAcentral describes it as "sequence contains ITS2". The record is from RNAcentral. Lineage: Eukaryota; Fungi; Basidiomycota; Agaricomycetes; Agaricales; Agaricaceae.
AAUUCUCAAACCCUCUCAGCUGUGUUUAUGGCUUUGGGGGUUUGGAUUAUGGAGGUUCUGCGGGCCUUUCUAGGUCAGCUCCUCUGAAAUGCAUUAGUGGAACCGUUUGCGAUCCCAUCACAGGUGUGAUAAUUAUCUACACCAGUGGGUUGCUCUCUGUCUGUUCUGCUUCAAACUGUCCAAUUCUUGUGGACAAACUUAUACUGAAUGU